RNAcentral lists this ribosomal RNA (466 nucleotides) under uncultured bacterium. RNAcentral describes it as "bacterial SSU rRNA". It matches the Rfam family "Bacterial small subunit ribosomal RNA", at positions 338 to 795 of the family's 1533-position model. The record is from RNAcentral.
CCUANGGGAGGCAGCAGUCGGGAAUAUUGGGCAAUGGGCGCAAGCCUGACCCAGCGACGCCGCGUGAGGGAUGAAGGCCUUCGGGUCGUAAACCUCUGUCGGGAGGGAAGAAUGGCGGUGGGGCGAACAGCCUCGCUGUCUGACGGUACCUCCAAAGGAAGCGCCGGCUAACUCCGUGCCAGCAGCCGCGGUAAUACGGAGGGCGCAAGCGUUGUUCGGAAUCACUGGGCGUAAAGCGCGUGUAGGCGGCCGGGUAAGUCGGAUGUGAAAUCCCGAGGCUCAACCUCGGAACUGCAUUCGAAACGGUUCGGCUCGAGUCCCGGAGAGGAUGGCGGAAUUCCCGGUGUAGGGGUGAAAUCCGUAGAUAUCGGGAGGAACACCAGUGGCGAAGGCGGCCAUCUGGACGGUGACUGACGCUGAGACGCGAAAGCGUGGGGAGCAAACAGGAUUAGAUACCCGGNUANUC